Long non-coding RNA from Cucurbita maxima (winter squash), 1582 nucleotides. RefSeq lists it as uncharacterized. The record is from RefSeq and is a predicted model, not a curated record. The transcript has 5 exons. Lineage: Eukaryota; Viridiplantae; Streptophyta; Magnoliopsida; Cucurbitales; Cucurbitaceae.
CGAAGCUUAAACCCUAAAUCCCGCGGGGAAUUUCCUCUUCAUCUUCCUCAAUUCAAAUUCACCACAGAUAAUGGCGCGAGUGAUUCGACCAUUGAGGAAAUGCCUUCAGCUUUCCGAUCACAUGUGCAAGCGCACCGACAAUAUCCGAUCAAAUUCCCACCUGAAAACCCUACAUUUCCGACAUGCUCAGAUUCGUUUUCGAAGGAACUUGAUUUCUCUCUCCCAAUCAGGGAAUUGGAUAAUGAAUAUGUUGAAGCAAGGAGUGCGGCGCUGUUUUCCUUCAUAAAUCUAUGAAGAACAAGGAUAAACAGAUUUCUUUAGAUGGAUGGAAACUGUAAAAGCAUUCAUUGAAAUCAAUUGAAAUUAUUGACUCUGCAGUAUUUUCAUUUGAGAAUAGUUGUUUGCUGUUGGUUGGAUAUCGAUUUUUGAAACUACCGCCAUUUUAGUCUUUCACCCACUCAUAAAUUUGAUGGCUUUACUAGAAAAAAUGGAGAGCUAUGAAGUAUAACUCAAUGAAUAGACAACCCAACUGCUGAGGGAAUACUACAGGCCACAUAUUAUCUUCCAAACGGAGGAAAGCAAGAUUUUUACACGUGUGGUAAUUUAAGGCAAAGGAAGAAAAGGGGGGAAAGGUUUUGGUCCAUCUUAGAGUUACAGCCUCAAAGACAAGUCUAAACAGUCUAGCUUGUGCAGUUCAUUAUGAGGACGCUUUGAAUCCAACAAUGUGUCACUGUUUGACGACAGCCUCCAACCACCAUCAAAACCUUCUGCUCCGCUGCUUGAUGGCAGUACCGGUGAGGCCCCCAACCGAUAAUUCUUCGACAAGGGCCAUUUGCCAGUUGCCACUUGCGUGUAAAGAGGCUGUCUGUCCCAGACCUCAGGCUCAAAAGGAUGAAUGGAACCAAAAACAGGUGCAUGGGAAAAUGGCUUAUGAAUCAUUGAAUGCAUUUGAAUUCCAAGUGAUCUAUUGAAGCCUUGAAAAGGCAGGGAGGACACACUCGAGUGUUUGCAAUCAGUUGAAUUGGUAACUAAUUUAUGGGCUGGUUUAGCCUUUUUCCUCUUUCGAUUAUGAGCAUUUUGGUGGCCUCCAAGUGCCUGUGAACUCAAGAACUCCCUUGGGCAAAAAUUGCAGGAGAAAACUCGAGGCUUAGCUGCUGCUUCUGUACCUUCGUAGGAAAUGUCGUUUGGUAAAUUAUCAGCACAAAAAAAGUCAAUUAGGUUCAAUUCCUCUGGCAAACUCCCGCCCAAAUCCUUGUUUGAGAGGCUUAGAUCGAGGGAAACAAGUUCAGGGCUUAUGUCUUUUGAGUCACUUGGAUCCUUUACUUCUGGAGGGCUAUCCAUUGAAACUUGUUGCAGCCAUGGAAGUUCAUCUGCCAAUGAGUUGAUGCUGGUAGUUUCUGGCUCUGAUUUUGCUGGAAGACUCAUGGGUUAUAUUCCGAAGUAGUGAAUGGUUUGUGGAUGAGUGCUCUUGAAGUAGUUGAAGUAGUUGGUCUGACUUCGAACCUACGUGUCUAUGACUUCAUUUCUCAAGAAAUUUGUACACUGGAAGAUCAUGAAUUUGAGAUUUUCUCUACUAAAAAUA